This 4878-nucleotide long non-coding RNA is filed under the name Hordeum vulgare. RNAcentral's name for it is "long non-coding RNA (HVUL_LNC004882)". Lineage: Eukaryota; Viridiplantae; Streptophyta; Magnoliopsida; Poales; Poaceae. The record is from RNAcentral.
CCAUAUAUUUCGUAUAUGUAUUACGGCAACCAGGAUUUCAUAUCUGAAUUACAUCAUAGUACAACAUUAGAUAGCUUCAGCACCCAGUUACAUCAUAUAGGCAUAUACCUAGCUACGACAUUACACAAGAGCACCAAAUUUCACAUGCUACAUCUAAAACCUUUAAAGUGUAGCAUCAUAUACGGUAAAUAGACAGAUGAAUCUCAUCUGGAAAACUGUUGAAUCUGAAAGCGAAUAUUGAGCCUUUAGUGAUGUUGAAUGUCUUUGUAACUUUAAGCCACUAGUUGUGGAUGAUUGCCCGCCCAACCUUCGUCCUCUUGAGGAAGACUUCAAUAUUGUACCGUGGGUGUUGAAUGAAUACCUUCAUCAUAUCUUCAGCAUGCAGGUGGUUUGAGAGGUAAUCAUUCAUGAACUACUUUGUAACUGACUGAAAACAAAGAUAUGCAUAAAUAUAUGUUCUAAAUUUUGGAAUGGCGCAGAGGGAAAAAAGUAGGUAAAAGAGUUAGUACCAUCCUACAGUUGGCACAUGUCUUCUUCAUUGUGCAAACAAAGAUCUUGUCGUUAUUCAUUACUAAUUUAUUUAUCCUAACAAUCUUUUUGAGUUUCUUGACUUGACUAAUAUUCAUAGACAAGCAUUUCCCCAUAUGAAAAAUGGAUCAAACAAUGGGUAUAAACCUCUAAUUGUAGAACCUACAUAUGAAAGACCAAAAAUUUAAAAACCUAGAUAUUAGAAUGGUUGAUGCAAUUGCAUAAUAAUGUGCUAUUAGCCAAAGGACCAUGCAUGUGCAAACCUCGAUGGUAAACCUAAGUGCAUCCAAUUGUUUCCCUUCAACACAUAUAAGGUAGUUAUUGACCAGUUUAAGUGAGAGUUGGCAUAUUAUAAGUAAAAUAUGUUGAUGAAAAAAACACAUUGCAGAUCCAACACAUUAAUUUGAGCCACAUGGAAAAGCCACUUAUCCACACCAAGAAUUCUUAAGAACUAGGAAAUAUAGCAAUUGUAUAUGGUUCUCAUGUACUUAGUAUAGCCAAACUCGAUUUGUUUCUCACCACAUAAAAAUACAAAAGUUGUAUCCACAAGAAUUGAACAUCGCAUUUCAAAAUGGAACCAAAAAGUUAACUAAACAUCACAACAAAUGAACCAAAUAGUGAAGUGAGCACCACAUUGCGCAUUAUAUAUAUCGUAUAUAUACUAGAAGAUAAGAUUGUAUAUUAACAUCACAUGAAGGCACCAGUGAUGGACUCAAGAAAACACCACAAACUAUCAUUUAAAGUAGCCAACCGCAUGGCAGUGGCCGCGUGUGAGGUGUGGCCUCUAUGGUGAGGUGCUCCUCCAAGAUCUGGCGGUCGACACGCAUGGCGGCCCUUGCCACCUCAUCUGUGCAUGCGUCCGUGAGUUGCUUCUCUGCUCCUAGAUUCUCCUUGAGCUUCUGGCUAUAUUGUGUGCACCAUGCUUUAAGGUGGCGCUUAUUUGGAGGAUAGGAUGGUGAUUUGGAUUGAAAGUGUCGCGUCAGUUGUCGGGGCAUGUGGGGUGGAGAAGGAGGAGGAGAAGGAGGAGGAUGUGGGUGGGGUGUGGAUUACAUCACAAGAUCAACGAGGUUGUGCGGCAGGAAGGAGCAUCACUGCAAGCAAGGAGUGCAUGUUUGAGCUUGGAAAGCAAGGAGGAAAUAAUAGAAAUGUGGAUUUUGGUAGGGGUGAGGUAGAUAUUUUCUGCGUUUGCUGAAAUUUUUCGCUUGGUGUUGUGAAAAACUAGCACAAGUGUGGUUAACGAGCGGACAAUGGAUUGUAGCCGAUCAAGCUUCUAGAGUAAGCGAGGCCCAAUAUAUUUUAUGCUGCAUCACACAUGAUUCGUGCUAAUAAACUUUUUGAGGUGUACUUGAUUUUUCAUUUUGAAUUGAAAGAAAAGCGGGGUUAUUAUGCAAAAGGAGAGUUUUUGAAUUACUAGAACAUUUAUCUUCGGGGAAACAUGCAACUAUAGGAGUGUCAUGUUAAAAUACGGAAUUGUUUAGGGUAUGUUUGGACAUUUUUAUAUAUUAACUGAGUUUUCUAGAAUUUUAGUGUGCAUAGUUCACAUUUGGCAACAGGCAAAUGCUCUAGUGUAGCAAAAUGGGUUGAAAAUCAUAUAUGUGUCCCUCGGUGUAUGUUUAGUUCCCAUGCAAAAAAUGGGAAUGGAUUUAAAAUACAUUGAUGUCGUGGAUCAGCCUCAAACAUUGAGAAGCUUGGUUUUUAAAUUCCUGUAAAUCCAAAACUCGUCUGAAAUUCAUGAAAUUUUGCAUGGUGUAAUGAAAUGGCACUAAUAUGUUGUGGUAAAUAUUUUGUCCAAUUUGGGACAAGUUUGGGUAUAAACUUCUUACAAACCAGAGCUUCUCACUAGAAACCUCGUGGUUCCGAUAAGGAAUGUGUCACCUUUGUGGAUCAAACGACAUUCGUUGCCUUUUCUCGCCUGGAAUAUUUUUCGACAGGUAACAUGAAUUAGUAGGAGUGUUGUGUUAAAAUUUGGCAUUAUUCAGGGUUCAUUUGGACAUUUUAUAUAUUAAUAGAGUUGUAUAGUCAUUUAGUAUGCAUAAUUUAAAUUUGAACUACACGCACAUGCUCAACUGCACCAAAAUGGGUUAAAAACAUAUAUGUGUCCUUGGGUGCAUAUUUAGUUCCCACGCAAGAAAUGUGAAUGAAUUUCAAACACCUCGGCGUCGUGGAUUGCCCGCAAACAUUGAGAAGUUUGGUUUUUAAAUUCAUGUAAAUCCAAAACUCGUCUAACAUUCCUGAAACUUGGUAUGGUGUCAUGAAAUGUCACCAACAUUAUAUGGUAAUUUUUUUGUCCAAUUUGGGACAAGUUUUGGCAUAAACUUCUUACAAACCACAGCUUCUCACUAGAAGCCUCAUGAUUUUGAUGGGGAACGUGUAACCUUUGUGGAUGAAACGACAUUCGUUAUCUCUUGUUGCCUUGAAUAUCUUUAUAGAGGCAACGAGGAUUAGUAGGAGUGUCGUGUUAAAAUUUGGAAUUAUUCAAGGUUUGUUUGGACAGUUUUAUACAUUAACUGAGUUUUCUAGGCAUUUAGUGUGCAUAAUUCAAAUUUGAACUACAUGCACAUGCUCCGGUAUACCAAAAUGGGUUGAAAAUCAUAUAUGUGCCCCUCGGUGCAUGUCUAGUUCCCGUGCAAGAAAUGGGAAUGAAUCUCAAACACCUCGAUGUCAUUGAUCGGCCGCAAACAUUAAGAACCUUGGUUUUUAAAUUCAUGUAAAUACAAAACUUGUAUGACAUUCAUGAAACUUAGCAUGGUGUCAUGAAAUGGUACCAACAUGAUGUGGUAAGAAAUUUGUCCAAUUUGGGACAAGUUUUGAUAUAAGCUUCUUACAAACCAGAGCUUCUCACUAGAAGCCUCGUGGUUCCAAUAGGGAACGUAUCAUCUUUAUCGAAGAAACCAUAUUCGUUGUCUAUUCUCUCCUUGAAUAUUAUUCGAGAGGCAACAUGGAUUAAUAGGAGUGUCGUGUUAAAAUUUAGAAUUAUUCAGGGUUCGUUUGGACUUUUUAUACAUUAACUGAGUUUUCUAGGCAUUUAGUGUGCAUAACUCAAAUUUGAACUACAUGCAAAUGCUCGAAUGCACCAAAAUGAGUUCAAAAAUCAUAUAUGUGUUUGUGGGUGCAUGGUUAGGUCCUACUCAAGAAAUAAGAAUGAAUUUCAAAAUAGAUGCCACAUUAACAGCCAACGUAGGUAUUUUGGAACAACUAGCUGCCAACUUAAUAUUGCAACCGGAUGUCUUAUUUGAAUCAUGUGCGUUGUACUAACCGCUUAUGUGCCUCCACGUGUCCCUCUUAUUUAUUUUCUAGGAGGUAUUAUGGGGGCAGGUUUGAUUAGGCAUGAUGCGAUGCGAGUAGUCCAUCGUGCAUACUCAGCAUGAGGCGUGCAACCACUCCAUCGUGCAGCCUGACCAGGAUGCGUGCAAGGAGUCUAUCGCGCAACUAGCUCAUCAAGAAUCGAGUCAUUUGACCUCCACCCUCGGCCCACAUCGCUUCCAACUUCUCCAUUAAUGCUCCUCCUACUCCUCUGUUCUUAUCUAUAAGAGUCGCCAUCAAGGAUCACCUACCUCUCCGAUGAAGGACGAGGCAGGCAACAAGCAGGGGCGGGUCGAUCCAGUACCGCAAGAACCUUCGGGAGGUGUGGAAUUCAUCAGAAGCCUCCCCGGUGAGAUAUUGGCAACCAUCAUGUCCCUCCUCCCCAUCAAAUUUGUCAUGCGGGUCACCGCCUCCCCCAGCGGUGGCGCCUCUUUGUCACUCCACCCCUGGACCUCAUCAACGAUGAUGAGCUCUGCAACAGAGAUCGCAAACGCUUGGAUGGAUUGCCCCACAUCCUUGCCUCGAACAUUGGGCCAGUCAGAUGCCUUGCCAUCAUCAAUUUCUAUUCCAACUGCAAGGUCGAACCCAAGUUUCACGAGUGGUUCUUAUCCCCCGUCCUAGAUCACCUCAAGGAGCUUAGAUUUGAAGGUGGGCAUGUGCGCUCGUUGCCACCAUCCGUGCUCCGCCUCGCCAUGGGAUAAGCAUAUAAAACAUAUAUAAUUUCAGAUUUAUGAUAUUGAAUUCAUUCAACCAUUUACUCAUAGGAUAUAAGUGAAGCACGAAAGUAAAUGACAAAACUACUCCAAAACAUAUAAGUGAAGAUAAAUGAGUAGUCAAACAAUUAAGUAGCUAUGUGAGGACUUUAUCUCUCUCUCUUAAUAAAGAUUUUCAUAUCCAAAGCGUUUAUUGAAACAGAAAAACAAAAUAAAAGUGGCACUCCAAGAAUAGCACGCAACAUGUGAAGGAAUAAAAAAUUAGGCUCAACAUAGGCUAACCGAUAAUUGUUGAUGAAGAGAGGUGGGAUGCGUAGCAUCCCCGAGUUAGAUG